Molecule: ribosomal RNA, 253 nt
Filed under: uncultured bacterium
Lineage: Bacteria
Description: partial 16S ribosomal RNA
Rfam family: Bacterial small subunit ribosomal RNA
Source: RNAcentral
UACAGAGGGGGCAAGCGUUGUUCGGAAUUACUGGGCGUAAAGGGCGCGUAGGCGGCCUUCUAAGUCGAACGUGAAAUCCCUCGGCUUAACCGAGGAACUGCGUCCGAUACUGAAAGGCUUGAAUCCGGGAGAGGGAUGUGGAAUUCCAGGUGUAGCGGUGAAAUGCGUAGAUAUCUGGAGGAACGCCGGUGGCGAAGGCGGCAUCCUGGACCGGCAUUGACGCUGAGGCGCGAAAGCUAGGGGAGCAAACGGG